RNAcentral lists this ribosomal RNA (515 nucleotides) under uncultured bacterium. RNAcentral's name for it is "partial 16S ribosomal RNA". It matches the Rfam family "Bacterial small subunit ribosomal RNA", at positions 28 to 523 of the family's 1533-position model. The record is from RNAcentral.
GAUGAACGCUGGCGGCGUGCCUAAUACAUGCAAGUCGAGCGAAUGGAUUAAGAGCUUGCUCUUAUGAAGUUAGCGGCGGACGGGUGAGUAACACGUGGGUAACCUGCCCAUAAGACUGGGAUAACUCCGGGAAACCGGGGCUAAUACCGGAUAACAUUUUGAACCGCAUAGUUCGAAAUUGAAAGGCGGCUUCGGCUGUCACUUAUGGAUGGACCCGCGUCGCAUUAGCUAGUUGGUGAGGUAACGGCUCACCAAGGCAACGAUGCGUAGCCGACCUGAGAGGGUGAUGGGCCACACUGGGAAUGAGACACGGCCCAGACUCCUACGGGAGGCAGCAGUAGGGAAUCUUCCGCAAUGGACGAAAGUCUGACGGAGCAACGCCGCGUGAGUGAUGAAGGCUUUCGGGUCGUAAAACUCUGUUGUUAGGGAAGAACAAGUGCUAGUUGAAUAAGCUGGCACCUUGACGGUACCUAACCAGAAAGCCACGGCUAACUACGUGCCAGCAGCCGCGGUAA